UGAGGGAGAGGACAGGGGGGUACCCUUCUCCCUUCUCCCACCCCUCUUCUCCUUUCUCCUACCCCCGUUCUUCUUUCUCCCAUUAGAAUAAAACAUCUCCUUUUGAGAUAUUUUUUCUUGAAAUAUUAGAAAUUUUUUUAAAAGGAGAGAUAUUUAAUUUUUUCUCCUUUCUCCCAGCCUUCCUCUCCUUUCUCCUACCCCCUUUCUCCUUUCUCCCACCCC
Molecule: long non-coding RNA, 222 nt
Filed under: Mytilus galloprovincialis (Mediterranean mussel)
Lineage: Eukaryota; Metazoa; Mollusca; Bivalvia; Mytilida; Mytilidae
Source: RNAcentral